This 357-nucleotide unclassified non-coding RNA is filed under the name soil metagenome. RNAcentral's name for it is "partial contains 5.8S ribosomal RNA, internal transcribed spacer 2, and large subunit ribosomal RNA". The stretch from base 2 to 119 matches the Rfam family "5.8S ribosomal RNA", at positions 37 to 154 of the family's 154-position model. The record is from RNAcentral.
GUGAAGAACGUAGCGAAAUGCGAUAAGUAAUGUGAAUUGCAGAAUUCAGUGAAUCAUCGAAUCUUUGAACGCACAUUGCGCCCGUCAGUAUUCUGGCGGGCAUGCCUGUUCGAGCGUCAUUACGCCCCUCAAGUCCCCUGUGGACUUGGUGUUGGGGAUCGGCGAGGCUGGUUUUCCAGCACAGCCGUCCCUUAAAUUAAUUGGCGGUCUCGCCGUGGCCCUCCUCUGCGCAGUAGUAAAACACUCGCAACAGGAGCCCGGCGCGGUCCACUGCCGUAAAACCCCCCAACUUUUUAUAGUUGACCUCGAAUCAGGUAGGACUACCCGCUGAACUUAAGCAUAUCAAUAAGCGGAGGA